RNAcentral lists this ribosomal RNA (303 nucleotides) under Pseudomonas aeruginosa. RNAcentral's name for it is "bacterial SSU rRNA". It matches the Rfam family "Bacterial small subunit ribosomal RNA", at positions 414 to 709 of the family's 1533-position model. Lineage: Bacteria; Pseudomonadati; Pseudomonadota; Gammaproteobacteria; Pseudomonadales; Pseudomonadaceae. The record is from RNAcentral.
GCCUUCGGGUUGUAAAGCACUUUCAGCGGGGAGGAAGGCGUUAAGGUUAAUAACCUUGGCGAUUGACGUUACCCGCAGAAGAAGCACCGGCUAACUCCGUGCCAGCAGCCGCGGUAAUACGGAGGGUGCAAGCGUUAAUCGGAAUUACUGGGCGUAAAGCGCACGCAGGCGGUCUGUCAAGUCGGAUGUGAAAUCCCCGGGCUCAACCUGGGAACUGCAUUCGAAACUGGCAGGCUAGAGUCUUGUAGAGGGGGGUAGAAUUCCAGGUGUAGCGGUGAAAUGCGUAGAGAUCUGGAGGAAUAC